UCCUACGGGGGGCAGCAGUGAGGAAUAUUGGUCAAUGGGCGGGAGCCUGAACCAGCCAAGCCGCGUGAGGGAAGAAGGUACAGCGUAUCGUAAACCUCUUUUGUCAGGGAACAAAGGCGGGGACUAGUCCCCGGAUGAGGGUACCUGAAGAAAAAGCAUCGGCUAACUCCGUGCCAGCAGCCGCGGUAAUACGGAGGAUGCGAGCGUUAUCCGGAUUUAUUGGGUUUAAAGGGUGCGCAGACGGCAGGGCAAGUCUGAUGUGAAAGUCCGGGGCUCAACCCCGGGACUGCAUUGGAAACUGUCCG
This 305-nucleotide ribosomal RNA is filed under the name uncultured bacterium. RNAcentral's name for it is "bacterial SSU rRNA". It matches the Rfam family "Bacterial small subunit ribosomal RNA", at positions 337 to 639 of the family's 1533-position model. The record is from RNAcentral.